Gossypium arboreum is the source of this 261-nucleotide long non-coding RNA. RefSeq lists it as uncharacterized. The record is from RefSeq and is a predicted model, not a curated record. Lineage: Eukaryota; Viridiplantae; Streptophyta; Magnoliopsida; Malvales; Malvaceae. The transcript is spliced from 2 exons.
GUCCAUCUUUGUUCAUCAUAGCUGAAAGUUAGAGAAGAGAAAGGAGAGGAGAAAGCUCUUGAGUAUUCGGUCAUUAGGAGGAGGAAAAUUGAAGGAAAUCCCUUACCCAUAGUGGGCUUGGAGCUGUGAGGGAAUUCGGAGUGGCCACCCGUUCUGAAAGUUUGAUUUUCUUCUGGUGAACUGGACAUCCUUUUAUUUACGUUUGAAGUUUUUGGGCUUUUAAAUGUAAUAAGGCCGCUUAAUUAUUUUUGAUGGUUUUAA